RNAcentral lists this ribosomal RNA (926 nucleotides) under Lactiplantibacillus plantarum. RNAcentral's name for it is "bacterial SSU rRNA". It matches the Rfam family "Bacterial small subunit ribosomal RNA", at positions 45 to 944 of the family's 1533-position model. The record is from RNAcentral. Lineage: Bacteria; Bacillati; Bacillota; Bacilli; Lactobacillales; Lactobacillaceae.
UGCUAAUACAUGCAAGUCGACGAACUCUGGUAUUGAUUGGUGCUUGCAUCAUGAUUUACAUUUGAGUGAGUGGCGAACUGGUGAGUAACACGUGGGAAACCUGCCCAGAAGCGGGGGAUAACACCUGGAAACAGAUGCUAAUACCGCAUAACAACUUGGACCGCAUGGUCCGAGUUUGAAAGAUGGCUUCGGCUAUCACUUUUGGAUGGUCCCGCGGCGUAUUAGCUAGAUGGUGGGGUAACGGCUCACCAUGGCAAUGAUACGUAGCCGACCUGAGAGGGUAAUCGGCCACAUUGGGACUGAGACACGGCCCAAACUCCUACGGGAGGCAGCAGUAGGGAAUCUUCCACAAUGGACGAAAGUCUGAUGGAGCAACGCCGCGUGAGUGAAGAAGGGUUUCGGCUCGUAAAACUCUGUUGUUAAAGAAGAACAUAUCUGAGAGUAACUGUUCAGGUAUUGACGGUAUUUAACCAGAAAGCCACGGCUAACUACGUGCCAGCAGCCGCGGUAAUACGUAGGUGGCAAGCGUUGUCCGGAUUUAUUGGGCGUAAAGCGAGCGCAGGCGGUUUUUUAAGUCUGAUGUGAAAGCCUUCGGCUCAACCGAAGAAGUGCAUCGGAAACUGGGAAACUUGAGUGCAGAAGAGGACAGUGGAACUCCAUGUGUAGCGGUGAAAUGCGUAGAUAUAUGGAAGAACACCAGUGGCGAAGGCGGCUGUCUGGUCUGUAACUGACGCUGAGGCUCGAAAGUAUGGGUAGCAAACAGGAUUAGAUACCCUGGUAGUCCAUACCGUAAACGAUGAAUGCUAAGUGUUGGAGGGUUUCCGCCCUUCAGUGCUGCAGCUAACGCAUUAAGCAUUCCGCCUGGGGAGUACGGCCGCAGGCUGAAACUCAAGGANGACGGGGGCCCGCACAGCGUGAGCAUGUGG